GAUGAACGCUGGCGGCGUGCCUAAUACAUGCAAGUCGAGCGAACGGACGAGAAGCUUGCUUCUCUGAUGUUAGCGGCGGACGGGUGAGUAACACGUGGAUAACCUACCUAUAAGACUGGGAUAACUUCGGGAAACCGGAGCUAAUACCGGAUAAUAUUUUGAACCGCAUGGUUCAAAAGUGAAAGACGGUCUUGCUGUCACUUAUAGAUGGAUCCGCGCUGCAUUAGCUAGUUGGUAAGGUAACGGCUUACCAAGGCAACGAUGCAUAGCCGACCUGAGAGGGUGAUCGGCCACACUGGAACUGAGACACGGUCCAGACUCCUACGGGAGGCAGCAGUAGGGAAUCUUCCGCAAUGGGCGAAAGCCUGACGGAGCAACGCCGCGUGAGUGGUGAAGGCCUUCGGAUCGUAAAACUCUGUUAUUAGGGAAGAACAUAUGUGUAAGUAACUGUGCACAUCUUGACGGUACCUAAUCAGAAAGCCACGGCUAACUACGUG
This 497-nucleotide ribosomal RNA is filed under the name uncultured bacterium. RNAcentral describes it as "partial 16S ribosomal RNA". It matches the Rfam family "Bacterial small subunit ribosomal RNA", at positions 28 to 507 of the family's 1533-position model. The record is from RNAcentral.